GGCUUCCGGAGCUAACGCGUUAAAUCGACCGCCUGGGGAGUACGGCCGCAAGGUUAAAACUCAAAUGAAUUGACGGGGGCCCGCACAAGCGGUGGAGCAUGUGGUUUAAUUCGAUGCAACGCGAAGAACCUUACCUGGUCUUGACAUCCACAGAACUUUCCAGAGAUGGAUUGGUGCCUUCGGGAACUGUGAGACAGGUGCUGCAUGGCUGUCGUCAGCUCGUGUUGUGAAAUGUUGGGUUAAGUCCCGCAACGAGCGCAACCCUUAUCCUUUGUUGCCAGCGGUUAGGCCGGGAACUCAAAGGAGACUGCCAGUGAUAAACUGGAGGAAGGUGGGGAUGACGUCAAGUCAUCAUGGCCCUUACGACCAGGGCUACACACGUGCUACAAUGGCGCAUACAAAGAGAAGCGACCUCGCGAGAGCAAGCGGACCUCAUAAAGUGCGUCGUAGUCCGGAUUGGAGUCUGCAACUCGACUCCAUGAAGUCGGAAUCGCUAGUAAUCGUAG
Molecule: ribosomal RNA, 506 nt
Filed under: Enterobacter cloacae
Lineage: Bacteria; Pseudomonadati; Pseudomonadota; Gammaproteobacteria; Enterobacterales; Enterobacteriaceae
Also listed under: 1 other name
Description: bacterial SSU rRNA
Rfam family: Bacterial small subunit ribosomal RNA
Source: RNAcentral